CAACAGACUUCGGCCACAGGAAAUUCGGGUUCUGCCAUGGAGAAAGAAUGUAGCGAAUUGCGAUACUUGGUGGAAAUUGCAGAACCUCGUGACCCAUAGAGUCUUUGAACGCAAGUUGCCCCGGAACCCAUUAGGCCGAGGGCAGCUCUGCCUGGCAUUCACGC
Molecule: ribosomal RNA, 164 nt
Filed under: Diabelia spathulata var. spathulata
Lineage: Eukaryota; Viridiplantae; Streptophyta; Magnoliopsida; Dipsacales; Caprifoliaceae
Description: 5.8S ribosomal RNA
Rfam family: 5.8S ribosomal RNA
About the family: 5.8S ribosomal RNA (5.8S rRNA) is a component of the large subunit of the eukaryotic ribosome. It is transcribed by RNA polymerase I as part of the 45S precursor that also contains 18S and 28S rRNA.
Source: RNAcentral